GCUAGGGCUAUUAUUCAGAUAAAGUAAAGUAAAAUGCAGUAAAAGAAAGUAGAAUAGAGUACAAUAGAGUACCAUCAGGCAGAUCAUGGCACAUAGGGUUAUCCACUGCAAGAGUCAGGGUGUUAGAGACCGUUGUGUAUUGCAGGUUUGACUGUAACAUUAUUAGAAUAUAUGUCCCUCCAUGUAGCGGUGAAUGCUGCCAGAGUGUCCCUUGGUGAGGCUGCCUGCGGUGAGUUCUGCGGUUUGUGCCUUUUAUGUCUUCCGUUUGCUUACUUUAUGGAAGCUUAUUAGUAGG
Molecule: non-coding RNA, 295 nt
Organism: Pelobates cultripes (western spadefoot toad)
Lineage: Eukaryota; Metazoa; Chordata; Amphibia; Anura; Pelobatidae
Source: the annotation of a GenBank genome assembly